GUUGUAUGGUUAAGUGACUAAGCGUACACGGUGGAUGCCUUGGCAGUCAGAGGCGAUGAAAGACGUAGUAACUUGCGAUAAGCCCAGAUUAGGUAGUAACAACCAUUUGAGUCUGGGAUUUCUGAAUGGGGAAACCCACUUACAUAAGUAAGUAUCCUUACCUGAAUACAUAGGGUAAGGAGGCGAACCGGGGGAACUGAAACAUCUAAGUACCCCGAGGAAAAGAAAUCAACCGAGAUUCCGAAAGUAGCGGCGAGCGAAAUUGGACUAGCCCUUAAGCUUUACACGCGUUAGACGAACGGUCUGGAAAGUCCGACGAUACAGGGUGAUAGUCCCGUAGUUGACGACGUGUGUUCAGUGAAAUCGAGUAGGGCGGGACACGUGAUAUCCUGUCUGAAUAUGGGGGGACCAUCCUCCAAGGCUAAAUACUACUGACUGACCGAUAGUGAACCAGUACCGUGAGGGAAAGGCGAAAAGAACCCCUGUGAGGGGAGUGAAAUAGAACCUGAAACCGUGUACGUACAAGCAGUAGGAGCAGGCUUGUCCUGUGACUGCGUACCUUUUGUAUAAUGGGUCAGCGACUUAUAUUCAGUGGCAAGGUUAACCAUCUAGGGGAGCCGUAGGGAAACCGAGUCUUAACUGGGCGUU
Molecule: ribosomal RNA, 648 nt
Filed under: Vibrio parahaemolyticus
Lineage: Bacteria; Pseudomonadati; Pseudomonadota; Gammaproteobacteria; Vibrionales; Vibrionaceae
Description: bacterial LSU rRNA
Rfam family: Bacterial large subunit ribosomal RNA
Source: RNAcentral